Molecule: long non-coding RNA, 2343 nt
Organism: Acipenser ruthenus (sterlet)
Lineage: Eukaryota; Metazoa; Chordata; Actinopteri; Acipenseriformes; Acipenseridae
Exons: 3
Source: RefSeq, a predicted model, not a curated record
UUAGCCAGUGACAUCAAAGUUUUUACCAAGUGAUAAUUUCCCUCUUGAUUUGAAAGGAACGCCUCCAGCUCUCCAGCAACGCCCAUGAAUUUUGAAUGUGGGGUGAAUAAGAAUAACGCACACAUGGAAGCUAGCAACUCCAGCACCAUUAUCAGCACAUGAACACCAGAUCCCUCUUGUUUCUCAAACACGAACCAAGUGUACUGAGUUAAUUUCCUUUUGAAGUCUGAAUGUAAGAGGAGCGACAUGUACUGGGGUAAAGUGAGGCUUAUUUGGAGAAGGUACACACGGUCCCGCUGCUCCAGACCUCGACCGGAAUGGUGAUCUGAUUCCUGAUAAAGUCCGGAGUGGACCCGGAAUCAGUCAGUCCAUGUCGAACACUCCCCAGUACGUUCCAGUGGACACGAGCCUCCUCGGCUACUCCAAACACCAGACACACUAAAGUAACAGAACCACUGGACUGGACUUCAUCCUCAGAAGGCGAUGAGAUUACAAUUGAAAUGUCUUCAGGACUUUCUGGAGAGAUAAUAAUAUGUGUAUGUGACACGAACGUUCGGACUAUAUUAUAUUCUGAAAAUGAAGAGUGCACAGUUUAAAAAAUACUUUAUUAACUAUUGAUGUAUUAUUUAUGAAAGAGUAAACAUCUAGACCACUGGUUUCAACCUGGUUUUUAAUCCCUUAAAAAGACAAACCUGCGGACCCCUGCCCCAACCAUGUAGUUUCACCAUCUUGUUCAUAAACGGUUUCUUACAUGUUUCAAUCCUUUAAUCAAUAAUUUUAAACACAAUUAUUGUUAAUGGCGAUGCUUAAUUUACAUCAACAGACACUGAAUCAGAAAAAAGUAGUAUGAAAACAGGCAGAAUAAGGCUGUAUUUUUUCAUAGAUAUCAUCAAUCAAUAAUUAUUUUUUAGAAAGUGCCCUUUUCAGAUUGGCAGCUAUGGAAACAAAUUAUAUAUAAAGGUAAGGAACCUAAGUGCAUUGUGGCCUGCUUUAAAAUAAUGAAUGAAAGGUUCUUGGGGUGAUUAAUAUAUUUAUAUAUGGUUGUAAUAAAGUAAUCUUAUAAAACAUACAAUAACCUACAUAAUAUGAUACUUAUAACAUAUGUAAUUAACAUGUCUUAUAAGAUACUUUAUUAAUAGCUGUAUAAAUUGACCUUGACAUUUUCACAAGAUAUUGUUAUGAGUGGGCAAAUGACAUGAUAUAUAUGACAUUAUAAAUACUGUUAUAAUCUUUUUAUAACGUGUUAUAGCAACACAAAAAAUGGUAAAAGUGUAUUAUAGCAGUCUUAUUUCUAAUCAUACUUUAUAAUGGUUAAUAGCAUAGCUAAUAACAUGUUUAUAGAUUGUUUAUAACCACUUAUAACGGAUACCUAAACUAAAGUGUUACCAAAAUAUUAAGAUCCCUCUUAUUACCCAAGUUGUUUAUUGGUAGAUUUUAAAAAACAUAAAAGUGUUUAUGUUGUUCUUUUUUAUAUUUAACCUGAAAAUAAAAAUGGAAAUACACAAUCUUAUUUACAAGGUUGUUCAGGGAGAAGUAGUCAGACUCAUUCAUACAUGUCAUUACACAGGGAGCUGCUUGUCCAACAUUAUAACCAGACGCUGCUCUGCCAUUGUUUUCUAUGGAGGUCAGGCUGCCGUUCUGGUAUAACUCAAUAACAGGAAACAUCAAUCUGGAUUGUUGGGCACAGUUUCGUGCACUGGGGGGAACGCUGUGCCAGACAAACUGGACAGGCUGGACCUGCAGUUGCAAAACUCCUCUGUCCGCUGGUUCGGACGGAGGGGGCUUAGAUGGCAUUUUUUUUGUUUUGUUUUGUUUAUGAUUUAUUUUUUAAUUCCCCUUCUUCUAAACUUGAUAUCCUGGUGAUUCACGCUGCAGGCAAUGAUUUGGGUAAAUUGAAAAGUGUGGAAUUAGUGAGGAAAAAGAAAAAAUACUUAACAAAUGGAGAUUAGAUGAAGGGGCAUUCAGAACAGAAAAUAGGAGGCACUUUUUUACACAGAGAAUUGUGAGGGUCUGGAACCAACUCCCCAGUAAUGUUGUUGAAACUGACACCCUGGGAUCUUUCAAGAAGCUGCUUGAUGAGAUUCUGGGAUCAAUAAGCUACUAACAACCAAACGAGCAAGAUGGGCCGAAUGGCUUCCUCUCAUUUGUAAACUUUCUUAUGUUCUUAUGAAUGACACUGGUAUUGAUAUAGUCCUAAAAAAACCUCCAGCAUGGAAUUAAACCACACCUUCUGUAAAUAUAUUCUUCCCUUCCCCUACACACCCUCACACUGUUGUUUUUACUGCAUAUUUUGAAUUGUGUAGAUGUAUUGUGUAUAUUGUUUUGUUUUAAUAAAAGUGUAUU